AUUGAACGCUGGCGGCAUGCCUUACACAUGCAAGUCGAACGGCAGCGCGGGGCAACCUGGCGGCGAGUGGCGAACGGGUGAGUAAUAUAUCGGAACAUACCCUAGAGUGGGGGAUAACGUAGCGAAAGUUACGCUAAUACCGCAUACGCACUAAGGUGGAAAGUGGGGGAUCUUCGGACCUCAUGCUCAUGGAGUGGCCGAUAUCUGAUUAGCUAGUUGGUGAGGUAAAGGCUCACCAAGGCGACGAUCAGUAGCUGGUUUGAGAGAACGACCAGCCACACUGGAACUGAGACACGGUCCAGACUCCUACGGGAGGCAGCAGUGGGGAAUUUUGGACAAUGGGGGCAACCCUGAUCCAGCAAUGCCGCG
Molecule: ribosomal RNA, 369 nt
Filed under: uncultured bacterium
Lineage: Bacteria
Description: bacterial SSU rRNA
Rfam family: Bacterial small subunit ribosomal RNA
Source: RNAcentral